GGGGACAACAGUCCGAAAGGAUUGCUAAUACCGCAUACGUCAGCGGCACCUACGGGUGCUGUUGGGAAAGAUGGCCUCUCCUUGGAAGCUGUCACCGGAAGAUGAGCCCGCGCCCCAUCAGCUAGUUGGUGAGGUAAUGGCUCACCAAGGCUAAGACGGGUAGCUGGUCUGAGAGGAUGAUCAGCCACACUGGGACUGCGACACGGCCCAGACUCCUACGGGAGGCAGCAGUGGGGAAUAUUGGGCAAUGGGCGAAAGCCUGACCCAGCCACGCCGCGUGAGUGAUGAAGGCCUUCGGGUCGUAAAGCUCUGUGGGGAGGGACGAACAAACUCUGGGCUAAUCACCAGGGUCCUGACGGUACCUCCUUAGCAAGCACCGGCUAACCCUGUGCCAGCAGCCGCGGUAA
Molecule: ribosomal RNA, 407 nt
Filed under: uncultured Myxococcales bacterium
Lineage: Bacteria; Pseudomonadati; Myxococcota; Myxococcia; Myxococcales
Description: bacterial SSU rRNA
Rfam family: Bacterial small subunit ribosomal RNA
Source: RNAcentral